UAAAAGCACUGGGGGAGCCGGAGGAGUCCGGCUGAGAGUGGGCCUUUUUCGGCCCUGACCCUUAUACCUGAUCCGGGUUAUGCCGGCGGAGGGAAGUGCGGGAUUUUAUGC
RNAcentral lists this non-coding RNA (111 nucleotides) under Bacillus infantis. RNAcentral describes it as "TPP sequence". It matches the Rfam family "TPP riboswitch aptamer (THI element)". From Rfam's summary of the family: Vitamin B(1) in its active form thiamin pyrophosphate (TPP) is an essential coenzyme that is synthesised by coupling of pyrimidine and thiazole moieties in bacteria. The previously detected thiamin-regulatory element, thi box was extended, resulting in a new, highly conserved RNA secondary structure, the THI element, which is widely distributed in eubacteria and also occurs in some archaea. Analysis of operon structures identified a large number of new candidate thiamin-regulated genes, mostly transporters, in various prokaryotic organisms. Lineage: Bacteria; Bacillati; Bacillota; Bacilli; Caryophanales; Bacillaceae. The record is from RNAcentral. RNAcentral also lists the same sequence under 1 other name.